RNAcentral lists this ribosomal RNA (1228 nucleotides) under freshwater metagenome. RNAcentral describes it as "bacterial LSU rRNA". It matches the Rfam family "Bacterial large subunit ribosomal RNA", at positions 1676 to 2925 of the family's 2925-position model. The record is from RNAcentral.
UUUCCCAGUCACGAUAGAGAGCCCACAUCAAAGGAACUCGGCAAAAUGCUCCCGUAAGUUCGCGAGAAGGGAGCCCGGCUUGUAGGCAACUAUGGGCCGGGGGCACAAACUAGGGGGUGGCGACUGUUUACUUAAAACACAGGGCUGUGCGAAGCCGUAAGGCGACGUAUACAGUCUGACGCCUGCCCGGUGCUGGAAGGUUAAAAGGAGGGGUGCAAGCUCCGAAUUGAAGCCCCAGUAAACGGCGGCCGUAACUAUAACGGUCCUAAGGUAGCGAAAUUCCUUGUCGGGUAAGUUCCGACCUGCACGAAUGGCGUAACGAUCUCCCCGCUGUCUCUGAUGUGGACUCAGCGAAAUUGAACUGUGUGUCAAGAUGCACACUUCCCGCGGUUAGACGGAAAGACCCCAUGAACCUUUACUCCAGCUUUGCACUGGCAUCAGGAUUGUGAUGUGCAGGAUAGGUGGUAGGCAUCGAAGCAGAGACGCCAGUUUCUGUGGAGCCUCCCUUGAGAUACCACCCUUCGCACUCUUGAUGUCUAACCGCGGCCCGUCAUCCGGGUCCGGGACCAUGCAUGGUGGGGAGUUUGACUGGGGCGGUCGCCUCCCAAACAGUAACGGAGGCGCGCGAAGGUUGGCUCAGACCGGUCGGAAAUCGGUCGUUGAGUGCAAUGGCAGAAGCCAGCCUGACUGUAAGACUGACAAGUCGAACAGAGACGAAAGUCGGCCAUAGUGAUCCGGUGGUCCCAAGUGGGAGGGCCAUCGCUCAACGGAUAAAAGGUACUCUGGGGAUAACAGGCUGAUGAUGCCCAAGAGUCCAUAUCGACGGCAUCGUUUGGCACCUCGAUGUCGGCUCAUCUCAUCCUGGGGCUGGAGCAGGUCCCAAGGGUAUGGCUGUUCGCCAUUUAAAGAGGUACGUGAGCUGGGUUUAGAACGUCGUGAGACAGUUCGGUCCCUAUCUGCCGUGGGUGUAGGAGACUUGAGAAGAGUUGCCCCUAGUACGAGAGGACCGGGGUGAACGAACCACUGGUGGACCAGUUAUCGUGCCAACGGUAGUGCUGGGUAGCUAUGUUCGGACAGGAUAAACGCUGAAGGCAUCUAAGCGUGAAGCCCCCUUCAAAACAAGGUCUCCCUUGAGAGCCGUGGAAGACCACCACGUCGAUAGGCCAGAGGUGUAAGUGCAGCAAUGCAUUCAGCUGACUGGUACUAAUUGCUCGAUUGGCUUGAUUUG